This is a non-coding RNA of Acanthosepion pharaonis, 98 nucleotides long. Lineage: Eukaryota; Metazoa; Mollusca; Cephalopoda; Sepiida; Sepiidae. The record is from the annotation of a GenBank genome assembly.
UUGAAACACAGGUUCCCGUAUGAUCGCCAAAGUUAAGCAAUGUAGAGACUCGACAGUACUUAGAUGAGUGUCCACUUAGAAAAACCAGGUACUGUAAG